CCUAUUGUUGUGUAAUCGAUAACUUUUUCUAACAUUUUGCCCUUCUAAAACAACUUUUCAUAUUAUAAGCUAUUCGUUUUACUGUUUAAGUUUCAGUCCAAAAAUUAAGACUAAUUUAAGAAGAGAAAAUUAUAGGUGACUAUUUGUUUCCUUGUGUUCGUUUGUUGUAUAGCGAACUUUAUAGAUUACAGCAGUUAGAGCUGCGGCAAAUUAGUUGACUUGUGUUCUUUGCAACAUUAAACGAAAACAGCAGGCAAUACACAAAUAUACGUCCGUAGCAUUUAUCGUACAAACUUUCUAACGAAGCU
Molecule: non-coding RNA, 308 nt
Organism: Schizosaccharomyces pombe (fission yeast)
Lineage: Eukaryota; Fungi; Ascomycota; Schizosaccharomycetes; Schizosaccharomycetales; Schizosaccharomycetaceae
Source: the annotation of a GenBank genome assembly